Molecule: RNase P RNA, 361 nt
Filed under: Anaerolineae bacterium
Lineage: Bacteria; Bacillati; Chloroflexota; Anaerolineae
Description: RNase P RNA component class A
Rfam family: Bacterial RNase P class A
About the family: Ribonuclease P (RNase P) is a ubiquitous endoribonuclease, found in archaea, bacteria and eukarya as well as chloroplasts and mitochondria. Its best characterised activity is the generation of mature 5'-ends of tRNAs by cleaving the 5'-leader elements of precursor-tRNAs.
Source: RNAcentral
CGGAUGAACAAGGAAAUCGCGGUUUGGCAUGUCCAGACUGAGGAAAGUCCGCACUCCAUAGGGCGCGAUGCUAGUUAACGACUAGGCGAGGUAACUCGCCGGAAUAGUGCCACAGAGAUGAGAUUGCAUCGUGAAAACGGUGUGAGGGUGAAACGGUGCGGUAAGAGCGCACCAGUGCGGUUGGUGACAAUCGUAGCUCGGUAAACCCCAUCGGGAGCAAGGUCAAGCAGGAGCAUAGAGGCUGCCCGUCUCGUAUGAAGCUCCGGGUAGACUGCAUGAGGUGUCUGGUGACAGGCAUCCCAGAUAGAUGAUUUCCACCUCGUAAGAGGGACAGAAUGCGGCUUAUGCGGUCAUCCCGGUA